CUGCAUCUGUUAAUCGUAAUCAAAGCAAAUAAAUUAAUUUUAAUUAACUAAAUCAACAACACUAAUCAAGACCAGAACAAGGAUAAUGAUUAAGAAUGUAGUUACUAAUUACUUACGUUGGAAGGCUGAGAUUGGGAGCCUUGGUAUCUAAACUAAGUAUGUUUUUUGUUUCUUUUUCUUUUUUUUUUUAUUGGUUUAAUAUAAUCAGGGAACGAGCACGGAAGAGUGACGCCCGGGGGCCGGUUUAUAUAGAGAUGUUUGCCGACUUGACGAGGAAAUAUCGCGAGCUAAUUCCAAGAAGGUAACGCUUCCACGCACUUAAUGCAAACACGCUAACGAAGGAUCACCGUUCAUUUAGCUGACGCUAAAAGUUGGUACUAAACGGCGACAGAUCCACGGGUCCCACGACGCGCUGCUCCGCUCCACUACCGUCUCAUGGUAGCCCACCAACCAUUUCGGUCGUUAAGAAAAUUAAUUAUAUCCGAAGAAGAAAGAAAACGGCUAGUUAUAAUAUUAAAUUAAAUUUAAAAAAUAUAUAAUUUAAAUUCAUUUUGGUAAAGAGUAUUGUUGUUUUUUUUAUAUUUUAGUUUGUGUAUAUAUAAAAAUAUUCAAUGGAAGGUGGUAGCUGUCAGCAUAUGAAAUUGAUUGGUUUUAAUUUAUUUA
This 663-nucleotide long non-coding RNA is filed under the name Citrus sinensis (sweet orange). RNAcentral describes it as "long non-coding RNA (CSIN_LNC002635)". Lineage: Eukaryota; Viridiplantae; Streptophyta; Magnoliopsida; Sapindales; Rutaceae. The record is from RNAcentral.